Girardinichthys multiradiatus is the source of this 500-nucleotide long non-coding RNA. RefSeq lists it as uncharacterized. NCBI's taxonomy places the organism in Eukaryota, Metazoa, Chordata, Actinopteri, Cyprinodontiformes, Goodeidae. The transcript has 3 exons. The record is from RefSeq and is a predicted model, not a curated record.
GCAGAUUGCUAAUUUCCAUCCAGCCAGACAAAAAAACAGUGUAUAUGCUGUGAAAUCUAUAUGCUGAAAGGAGUAAUGAAGGUGGUGGAAACUUCUAUCCGUCAGCCAGCACAAGAGAUGGUUACCAUGAAAAAUGAACGGAGGCUGCUGCAGUGUUUUUCAACCUUUUUUGAGCCAUGACCAAUUAGGUGAAAUUGGAUCAUUUUCCAUUGCACACCUGACGAUCACUCACAGUGGUUGAAAAACGCUGGGCUAGUGGACAAACAUCGCUGACCAAUGAGCCUCAAUGAUUUCAAAGGGUUCUUUUUCUACCUGAUAUUUUCUCCAACAGUCCCAAAAUAUGCACGUUGGGUCAACUGGUUUGUCUCUGUGCUUCCCUGUGGUGAACUGGUGACCUGUCCUCUCCAAUGAACCAAUGACCACUGGAGAUAGGCAGCCUUUAUGGAUAAUUUUGUAUGUAUAGAGAAUGAAUGAAUGACCGGACCCCCACCCUCAUUUAA